Molecule: ribosomal RNA, 254 nt
Filed under: uncultured bacterium
Lineage: Bacteria
Description: partial 16S ribosomal RNA
Rfam family: Bacterial small subunit ribosomal RNA
Source: RNAcentral
UACGAAGGGUGCAAACGUUGCUCGGAAUUAUUGGGCGUAAAGCGCACGUAGGCGGCUUUGCAAGUCCCAUGUGAAAUCCCACGGCUCAACCGUGGAAGUGCAUGGGAAACUGCAGAGCUUGAGUACUUAAGAGGAUCGCGGAAUUCCCGGUGUAGAGGUGAAAUGCGUAGAUAUCUGGAGGAACACCGGUGGCGAAGGCGGCAUCCUGGACCAACACUGACGCUGAGUGAGCGAAAGCCAGGGGAGCAAACGGG